AGUAUCAUUAAGUGAAUACAUAGCUUAAUGAGGGGAACUCAGGGAACUGAAACAUCUAAGUACCUGAAGGAAGAGAAAGAAAUUCGAUUCCGUAAGUAGCGGCGAGCGAACGCGGAUUAGCCCAAACCAAUAAAGUUUUCUUUCUUGGGGUUGCGGACAUAUCAUAACGAAGAGGUAUCGUAAUUGAAGAGGUUUGGAAAGACCCACCACAGAAGGUAAUAGUCCUGUAUGUUAAACGAGAAGACUUUAGAUAUGAUCCAGAGUACCACGGGACACGUGAAACCCUGUGGGAAGCAGGAGGGACCACCCUCCAAGGCUAAAUACUACCUAGUGACCGAUAGCGUAUAGUACCGUGAGGGAAAGGUGAAAAGAACCCCGGGAGGGGAGUGAAAUAGAACCUGAAACCCUGCACUUACAAGCUGUGGAAGCACAUUUCUUGUGUGACCGCGUACUUUUUGUAGAACGGGCCAACGAGUUACGUUAAGUAGCAAGGUUAAGCACUUAAGGUGCGGAGCCGUAGCGAAAGCGAGUUUUAACUGAGCGUUCAGUUACUUGACGUAGACCCGAAACCGGGCGACCUACCCAUGAGCAGGAUGAAGCGAAAGUAAAAUGUCGUGGAGGUCCGAACCCACGAGCGUUGAAAAGCUCGGGGAUGACUUGUGGGUAGCGGUGAAAUUCCAAUCGAGCCCGGAGAUAGCUGGUUCUCCCCGAAAUAGCUUUAGGGCUAGCCUCAAGGUGAGAGA
RNAcentral lists this ribosomal RNA (743 nucleotides) under Clostridioides difficile. Its description in RNAcentral is "bacterial LSU rRNA". It matches the Rfam family "Bacterial large subunit ribosomal RNA", at positions 147 to 894 of the family's 2925-position model. The record is from RNAcentral. Lineage: Bacteria; Bacillati; Bacillota; Clostridia; Peptostreptococcales; Peptostreptococcaceae.